This 1379-nucleotide long non-coding RNA is filed under the name Anser cygnoides (Swan goose). Its description in RNAcentral is "lncRNA (ENSACDG00005005588.1)". The record is from RNAcentral. Lineage: Eukaryota; Metazoa; Chordata; Aves; Anseriformes; Anatidae.
GGGGGCAGGAGCAGGGAAGGAUGGAAAGCUUCAAACCUCCAACUGAAGGGUGCCCACUGCAGAAACACUUCUAUCACCAUGAGGCCUCUGGACCAUUCUGGGUACAGCUUGCUCUCUGAAUAGGCAUCUCGUUUGAUAACAUUCGCAAAUAUUUAUUGGAGAUACUUUUCUCCUGUUUGCCAGCCCUGGACAGGAGCCUUGCACAGUCAUUGCCAAAAUAAGUGCCAGGUUCAUUAUGUCUGAAAACUGAGGAAAGUCAGAGCUCACAAUGGCCUUUGCCCAAACCAAGGUUGUUUGAAAGUCAUUACCUGGCAUCCUCCUAGAGCAGAGGGCCUUGAGAAAGAUAUGGCACCAAGGAGAUAUUUCCCAGACAAGGAGAAGGAUAGGGCUAAAUCUGAAUAUGUUGUUUCAUCCUGAGUUUGGGGAGACUUAUUAAAACCAGUCAUCAGACCAAUGGUCUCUACAGAAAGGCUGGGAUUAUCCCAGGGAGUGGCAGGGUACCACCACACAGAGGUACAAAUCAUCUGUCAGUGGAACAAGGCAGCCCUGGGGCAGGGCCUGGCACCAGGGAUUAGGGAGUGUUUCUUCAUUUGAGGAAACUUUCCAAACUGCACUGUUCCACAGUUUGAACAAAGUGGCUUAAUAUCAAACAUUGAUCUAAAAUGGAGUAUGGGCGUGAAACUGCCAAUGUCCCUCUUUGAAAGAUCAAAACAAAGGUAUAUUCCCACAAAAGGGAGUGGUGGAGAGAGAUUAGGAGACAGUGAUAAGCCAAGGUUGGGGCAUGUGAUACCAGGAAAACCAUGGGUUGGGUCAGGGUAUCGGGGCUGGCUCAGGCAAAGCUGAUGUGGCAAGAUCUGGCUGUGCCCUAUAAAUCCAGCCCCAGCCUCAGCAUUGUAUAUUGACCCUGCCUGAAGGACUGAGUACCCUGUUGCAAAGAAGAAGCCAUGAAGGAAGAGAUCUGUGUUGCAUUCCUGGCUGUUUGUCUCCUUGUGCUUGGAGGCACUAAGGCAGCUCCCCUGGACUCUAACAGCUUUAAUGGGAACAGUGCUGGGGAUGGCAGCUUCAACAACAAUGGGAAUGGCUUCGAGCCCCCAGUCAUCUAUGAUCCUGUGGGUGAUGCAGGGAACCAUGGCAGCUUCGACUGGAAUAGGGUUGGUGACCGCAGCUUCAAUGACAAUGGGAAUGGCUUCGAGCCCCCAGUCAUCUAUGAUGUGGGUGCUGCAAGGAACCCUGUCAACUUUGAUGAUCAGUGACCACAGCUUCAAUGACAAUGGGGACUCCUGAAUAAUUUCCCUCCACAUUCAAUCUACGGUCCCAAUUUUGCCCUGUUCCUGAAGAGUUUUGCUUAAGAAUAAAGAGAUCCCAUUAUUGCUGGUGCA